Cryptomeria japonica (Japanese cedar) is the source of this 154-nucleotide ribosomal RNA. RefSeq annotates it as 5.8S ribosomal RNA. The record is from RefSeq and is a predicted model, not a curated record. The transcript has a single exon. Lineage: Eukaryota; Viridiplantae; Streptophyta; Pinopsida; Cupressales; Cupressaceae.
GACUCAUGGCAGUGGAUAUCUUGUCUCUCACCAUGAUGAAGAAUGUAGAAAAAUGCGAUACUUAGUGUGAAUUGCAGAAUCCUGUGAAUCAUCGAGUCUUUGAAUGCAAGUUGUUCCUGAGGCCUUGAUUGGGGGCACGUCUACUUGGGAGUCG